This 253-nucleotide ribosomal RNA is filed under the name uncultured bacterium. RNAcentral's name for it is "partial 16S ribosomal RNA". It matches the Rfam family "Bacterial small subunit ribosomal RNA", at positions 524 to 776 of the family's 1533-position model. The record is from RNAcentral.
UACGUAGGGUGCGAGCGUUGUCCGGAAUUAUUGGGCGUAAAGGGCUCGUAGGCGGUUUGUCGCGUCGGGAGUGAAAACCUCGGGCUUAACUCGGGGCUUGCUUUCGAUACGGGCAGACUAGAGGUAUGCAGGGGAGAACGGAAUUCCUGGUGUAGCGGUGAAAUGCGCAGAUAUCAGGAGGAACACCGGUGGCGAAGGCGGUUCUCUGGGACGGUACUGACGCUGAGACGCGAAAGCGUGGGGAGCGAACAGG